GCAAGUCGAACGAGAAAGUAUCUUCGGAUACGAGUAGAGUGGCGCACGGGUGAGUAACACGUAGGUGAUCUACCGUUUGGAGGGGGAUAACACGAAGAAAUUCGUGCUAAUACCGCGUAAACACUGCAAUUUUGGAAGUAGCAGUGGAUAGGGUGCUUCGGCACUCACCGAACGAUGAGCCUGCGUAGCAUUAGCUUGAUGGUGGGGUAAUGGCCUACCAUGGCUACGAUGCUUAGCUGGUCUGAGAGGAUGAUC
Molecule: ribosomal RNA, 255 nt
Filed under: uncultured bacterium
Lineage: Bacteria
Description: partial 16S ribosomal RNA
Rfam family: Bacterial small subunit ribosomal RNA
Source: RNAcentral